GUAGCCAUGGCUGAGUGGUUAAGGCUAUUGACUAGAAACCCAUUGGGGUUUCCUUGCACAGGUUUGAAUUCUGCUGACUAUA
Non-coding RNA from Bos taurus (domestic cattle), 82 nucleotides. NCBI's taxonomy places the organism in Eukaryota, Metazoa, Chordata, Mammalia, Artiodactyla, Bovidae. The record is from Rfam.